GACGAACGCUGGCGGCGUGCUUAACACAUGCAAGUCGAACGGUAAGGCCCCUUCGGGGGUACACGAGUGGCGAACGGGUGAGUAACACGUGGGUGAUCUGCCCUGCACUUCGGGAUAAGCCUGGGAAACUGGGUCUAAUACCGGAUAGGUCCUCUGCCUGCAUGGGCGGGGGUGGAAAGCUUUUGCGGUGUGGGAUGGGCCCGCGGCCUAUCAGCUUGUUGGUGGGGUGAUGGCCUACCAAGGCGACGACGGGUAGCCGGCCUGAGAGGGUGUCCGGCCACACUGGGACGGAGAUACGGCCCAGACUCCUACGGGAGGCAGCAGUGGGGAAUAUUGCACAAUGGGCGCAAGCCUGAUGCAGCGACGCCGCGUGAGGGAUGACGGCCUUCGGGUUGUAAACCUCUUUCACCAGGGACGAAGCGCAAGUGACGGUACCUGGAGAAGAAGCACCGGCCAACUACGUGCCAGCCGCCGCAGUAA
This 480-nucleotide ribosomal RNA is filed under the name uncultured bacterium. Its description in RNAcentral is "partial 16S ribosomal RNA". It matches the Rfam family "Bacterial small subunit ribosomal RNA", at positions 28 to 523 of the family's 1533-position model. The record is from RNAcentral.